RNAcentral lists this ribosomal RNA (492 nucleotides) under uncultured bacterium. RNAcentral's name for it is "partial 16S ribosomal RNA". It matches the Rfam family "Bacterial small subunit ribosomal RNA", at positions 29 to 507 of the family's 1533-position model. The record is from RNAcentral.
AGUGAACGCUGGCGGUAGGCCUAACACAUGCAAGUCGAACGGCAGCACAGUAAGAGCUUGCUCUUACGGGUGGCGAGUGGCGGACGGGUGAGGAAUACAUCGGAAUCUACUUUUUCGUGGGGGAUAACGUAGGGAAACUUACGCUAAUACCGCGUACGACCUACGGGUGAAAGCAGGGGAUCUUCGGACCUUGCGCGAUUGAAUGAGCCGAUGUCGGAUUAGCUAGUUGGCGGGGUAAAGGCCCACCAAGGCGACGAUCCGUAGCUGGUCUGAGAGGAUGAUCAGCCACACUGGAACUGAGACAUGGUCCAGACUCCUACGGGAGGCAGCAGUGGGGAAUAUUGGACAAAGGGCGCAAGCCUGAUCCAGCCAUACCGCGUGGGUGAGGAAGGCCUUCGGGUUGUAAAGCCCUUUUGUUGGGAAAGAAAAGCAGCAGGUUAAUACCCCGCUGUUCUGACGGUACCCAAAGAAUAAGCACCGGCUAACUUCGUG